GGGAUUGCCUCAGUAACGGCGAGUGAAGCGGCAACAGCUCAAAUUUGAAAUCUGGCCCCUUCGGGGUCCGAAUUGUAAUUUGUAGAGAGUGCUUCGGGUGAGACCUCGGUCUAAGUCCAUUGGAACAUGGUGUCAUAGAGGGUGAGAAUCCCGUAUGCGACCGUGGCUCGAGCCCAUGUGAAGCCUCUUCGACGAGUCGAGUUGUUUGGGAAUGCAGCUCAAAAUGGGUGGUAAAUUUCAUCUAAAGCUAAAUACUGGCUGGAGACCGAUAGCGCACAAGUAGAGUGAUCGAAAGAUGAAAAGCACUUUGGAAAGAGAGUCAAACAGUACGUGAAAUUGUUGAAAGGGAAGCGCUUGCAACCAGACCUGCCCGUAGGCGAUCAGCCGCUGUUCUCAGCGGUGUACUCGCUCUGCGAUCAGGCCAGCAUCGGUUUCGGCGGUCGGAUAAAGGCCUUGGGAAUGUAGCUUCCCUUCGGGGGAGUCUUAUAGCCCUCGGUGCAAUGCGUCCUGCCGGGACCGAGGACCGCGCUUCGGCUAGGAUGCUGGCGUAAUGGUUGUAAGCGACCCGUCUUGAAACACGGACCAAGGAGUCUAACAUCUAUGCGAGUGUUUGGGUGUCAAACCCAUGCGCGGAAUGAAAGUGAACGGAGGUGAGAACCCUUAAAGGGCGCAUCAUCGACCGAUCCAGAUGUCUUCGGAUGGAUUUGAGUACGAGCAUAGCUGUUGGGACCCGAAAGAUGGUGAACUAUGCCUGAAUAGGGUGAAGCCAGAGGAAACUCUGGUGGAGGCUCGCAGCGGUUCUGACGUGCAAAUCGAUCGUCAAAUUUGGGUAUAGGGGCGAAAGACUAAUCGAACCA
Molecule: ribosomal RNA, 857 nt
Filed under: Xanthoparmelia transvaalensis
Lineage: Eukaryota; Fungi; Ascomycota; Lecanoromycetes; Lecanorales; Parmeliaceae
Description: eukaryotic LSU rRNA
Rfam family: Eukaryotic large subunit ribosomal RNA
Source: RNAcentral